GUUAGCUAUAGGGAACCCGGUUUCAGUCGGUAACCCCGGCGCGGCGGAGCUUCUGUCGCAGCGACGGUCGCGCGGGUGAGCAGCGCAGGGCCCUGCGGCGCGGUGGAGGGCGCUGUCCGCGUCCCCGCGCCGCGGCUCUGUAAGGGACGGAGCGCCCCGGGCCGAGGCACCAGAAGCCUGCGAAGUGCGAGGCCUUUGGGAUUGGGGUCUGAGGCUUGGGCUCUGCCUGGGCCGCGGAGACCCUGAAGUGGGUGAGGCGGCCCCGGGAGCAUGAGCGGGCAGCGCGUGGACGUCAAGGUGGUUAUGCUGGGCAAGGAAUACGUGGGCAAGACGAGCCUGGUGGAACGAUACGUGCACGACCGCUUCUUGGUGGGGCCCUAUCAGAACGUGAGUGCACCCCUGCGGAGCAGGCUUGGGAGGAAGGGGGCCGACCGGCAUUCGACUCUUAUCUCUUCCCUGGUUGUAGACCAUCGGGGCUGCUUUUGUGGCCAAGGUGAUGUGUGUUGGAGAUCGGACGGUGACUCUGGGUAUUUGGGACACAGCAGGUUCCGAGCGCUACGAAGCCAUGAGCAGAAUCUAUUACCGGGGUGCUAAAGCUGCAAUUGUCUGUUAUGGUAAGGGGUUGGACUCUGGCCUGUUCAAGUAAGAGUUGGGUUACAGGCCAGCAUCAACGGGAAGCCACUGUUCCUUAUUGUGUCUCCUGUCUUACCCCUACCAAGACCUCACCGACAGCAGCAGCUUUGAGAGAGCCAAGUUCUGGGUUAAGGAGCUCCGCAGUUUAGAAGAGGGCUGUCAAAUCUACCUGUGUGGCACUAAGAGUGAUCUGCUGGAGGAAGACAGGCGGCGCCGUCGUGUAGACUUCCAUGACGUUCAGGACUACGCUGAUA
Molecule: long non-coding RNA, 887 nt
Filed under: Rattus norvegicus (Norway rat)
Lineage: Eukaryota; Metazoa; Chordata; Mammalia; Rodentia; Muridae
Description: long non-coding RNA NONRATT012284
Source: RNAcentral